This 515-nucleotide ribosomal RNA is filed under the name Trachylepis megalura (Long-tailed skink). Its description in RNAcentral is "partial 16S ribosomal RNA". It matches the Rfam family "Bacterial large subunit ribosomal RNA", at positions 1809 to 2607 of the family's 2925-position model. The record is from RNAcentral. Lineage: Eukaryota; Metazoa; Chordata; Lepidosauria; Squamata; Scincidae.
AAAAACAUAGCCUUUAGCCCAAAAAGUAUUAAAGGUCCCGCCUGCCCAGUGAAACAACGGCCGCGGUAUUCUAACCGUGCAAAGGUAGCGUAAUCACUUGUCUUCUAAAUAAAGACCAGUAUGAAUGGCUAAAUGAGGACAAACCUGUCUCUUAUAGUUAAUCAGUGAAACUGAUCUUCCAGUACAAAAGCUGGAAUUAAAACAUAAGACGAGAAGACCCCGUGGAGCUUAAAAUAAACUACUACCCAAACUAGGAACCUUUUCAGUUGGGGCGACUUCGGAAUAUAGUAAAACUUCCGAGCACAGAACUACACCUUCUACCAAAGGCCAACAAGCCAAAUGACCCGGCCAAGCCGAACAACGAACCAAGUUACCCCGGGGAUAACAGCGCUAUCUUCUUUAAGAGUCCAUAUCAACAAGAAGGUUUACGACCUCGAUGUUGGAUCAGGACACCCAAAUGGUGCAGCCGCUAUUAAAGGUUCGUUUGUUCAACGAUUAAAGUCCUACGUGAUCUG